RNAcentral lists this transfer RNA (71 nucleotides) under Marmota monax (woodchuck). RNAcentral's name for it is "tRNA.Glu". The record is from RNAcentral. Lineage: Eukaryota; Metazoa; Chordata; Mammalia; Rodentia; Sciuridae.
GGGGCUGAGGCUCAGCGGUAGAGCACGCCUCUCUCAUGUGUGAAGCCCUGGGUUCGAUCCUCAGCACCACA